UAGGGAAUCUUCCACAAUGGACGAAAGUCUGAUGGAGCAACGCCGUGUGAGUGAAGAAGGUCUUCGGAUCGUAAAGCUCUGUUGUUGGUGAAGAAGGAUAGAGGCAGUAACUGGUCUUUAUUUGACGGUAAUCAACCAGAAAGUCACGGCUAACUACGUGCCAC
Molecule: ribosomal RNA, 164 nt
Filed under: uncultured bacterium
Lineage: Bacteria
Description: partial 16S rRNA
Rfam family: Bacterial small subunit ribosomal RNA
Source: RNAcentral